This 253-nucleotide ribosomal RNA is filed under the name uncultured bacterium. RNAcentral's name for it is "partial 16S ribosomal RNA". It matches the Rfam family "Bacterial small subunit ribosomal RNA", at positions 524 to 776 of the family's 1533-position model. The record is from RNAcentral.
UACGUAGGGGGCUAGCGUUGUCCGGAAUCAUUGGGCGUAAAGAGCGUGUAGGCGGUCCGGUAAGUCCGCUGUGAAAGUCGGGGGCUCAACCCUCGAAUGCCGGUGGAUACUGUCGGGCUAGAGUACGGAAGAGGCGAGUGGAAUUCCUGGUGUAGCGGUGAAAUGCGCAGAUAUCAGGAGGAACACCUAUUGCGAAGGCAGCUCGCUGGGACGUAACUGACGCUGAGACGCGAAAGCGUGGGGAGCAAGCAGG